This 341-nucleotide ribosomal RNA is filed under the name Chrysolina bankii. RNAcentral's name for it is "16S ribosomal RNA". The record is from RNAcentral. Lineage: Eukaryota; Metazoa; Arthropoda; Insecta; Coleoptera; Chrysomelidae.
UGUAAAAUUUUAAAGGUCGAACAGACCUAAUAUUUUAGCUUCUACACCAAAAAUUUAUUUUAAUCCAACAUCGAGGUCGCAAUCUCUUUUUUUAAUACGAACUCUAAAAAAAAUUACGCUGUUAUCCCUAAGGUAAUUUUAUCUUAUAAUCAAAAAUAUUGGRUCAUUCACCCAUAAAUUUAUGUUUUUAAAUAAAAAAAGUUAUUCUAAUUUUUCAAUCACCCCAAUUAAAUUAUUUAAUAUAAUUAAUAAAUAAAUACUAAAAUAUUAUUUUUAUUAGAUAAUUAAACUCUAUAGGGUCUUCUCGUCUUUUUAACUUUUUUAAGCUUUUUAACUUAAAA